Molecule: long non-coding RNA, 17644 nt
Organism: Equus caballus (horse)
Lineage: Eukaryota; Metazoa; Chordata; Mammalia; Perissodactyla; Equidae
Source: Ensembl
AGACGCUGUGCUCACAAUGCUGUGUGGCUUCUGUCGUUGGCUCUGGCAAGAAGAGAGCUGGCAGGUAUUUCUCACAUCUUUGUCAAUCGAGGGGAGGAGUUCCAAAGUAGUCCUGGGGUGUGGAUUUCUGCCAAGUCUCCUUUGAUUUGUUAUUAAGUUAGGAAAAAAUUUAAAAGACACUCCUGGAUGAGCCUGUGGUCGCUUGAGGUAAGUGCAGUGUGGUAGAAGGCGCUUCCCCCAUACUUGGAGUCAGACAGCCCUGCGUCCGAAUGAGGCUCCUUUGCCUGCAAGUCCUGUGACCUAGGCCAGUUUCCUUAGCCUCCGUCACCUAACCUCAGUCUGCCCAUAUGUAAAAUAGCUCAUACCUUCUGCAGGAACGAAGCUCCACGAAGGCAGGGAUGUUCGUCUGUCUGUUUGCUCCUGUGUUCCAGUACCUGACGUAGAUUUCUCUGGGGACUGUGUUGACAACAGUGAAGGGAGACAAAGAUGGAAGCAGAAGACCCACUGUGAAGACUUGGUGACAACGGGGUGAGAGGGGACGGCGCUCAGACUUGGGUGGCAGAGGAGGUAAGACGUGGUCAGACUCUGAACAUCUUUUGAGGGAAGAACCAACAAAAUUUGCUGACAGAUUGGAAGGGCAAUGUGAAAAAGAGAGAGGAGUUAAGAAUGACUUCAAGGAUUUUGGACCUGAGCAAAUGGAAAGAGUGAGCUGUCAUGAACGGAGGUGAGAAAGACGACAAGAGAAAGGAUUUGGGGAUGUUUGGUGAGGUAGGGGUCAGGAAGCUGGUUUUUGUCAACAUGUUCAAUGGGAGAUGCCUGAAGACACCCAUGGGAUGUGCUGAGCAGCAGGGGAGAGGCUGGGCUGGAGAGACACUUGGGACCAACAGUGUAUAGAUGGUAUUUGAAGCCAGGAGGCUGCGGGAGGUCACAGAGGAGUGAGGGUGGGGACGGAAAAGAAGAGGGCUGAGGACCGGGCCCUAGGCCUCCUGUGCAAAGUGUUGGGGAAGGUGGAGAGUACUCAGCAAAGGAGACCGAGGUGAAGCCACCAAGAUAGGAGGGGAAUCCAAAGAUCGCUGUCCUGACAGCCAAGUGCAGAAAGAGCUUCCGGGAGGAGGAAGUGAAUGGUGUGUCCAGUGCUCUGUCAGCUCCGUUAAGAUCCAGACUGAGACUUGACCAUCAGAUUUACGGAGAGGGGUCACUGUUGACUUUAACAAGAGCCCUGUGGAGGAAGGGCGGGGGUGCGAGCCUGACCAGAGUGCCUCCAAGAGCAAGAGAGAGGAGAAGAUUGGGAAUUAGGGCAGGUACUUGACUCUGAGGAGCAAAGAAGCAGAGUGACAGACGGAAGAGGAUGUGGGCUCAAGAGACGGGUGUGUGUGUGUGAGAGAGACAUAUCAGCGCGCCUGCAUGCUGAUGAGAAUGAUCAAGUCUUGAGGAGACCUUCAGGAUGCGGGUGAAGAGGAGAGACUUGCUGGAGCCAUGGCCUUGAGAGAAUGAGAGCAGACGGCAUCCCGCGCCCCGUGGAGGAGGGGUGUUUGCUGGGAGCACAGGCACACAGCUGUACAAUGGAAGAGCGGUCCCCGCAGAGGGCAGAGGAGGCGGGGCGGGGCGUUCCCAGAGCCAGCACAGGGUGAGAGACACCCACGUUCCAUAGCAGGGACAUGUGCAGGCAUUUGCUCUCGGCUAUUUACAUACAUUAGCUUCAAAUUCUUGCAACAACCCAAUGAGAUAAAUGCUGUCACUGUGCCCAGUUUAGGUAGAAUACUGAGGCAUAGCAAUGUUCAGAAUUUUGUCCAAAGUCACACAAGUAGCAAUCGGCAUAGUCUGGCUGAUGACCCCUGCUCGCUGUACCAGGAUGAACGGAGGGACGACGGCUCAGCGGCAGCUGGACGAGAAGCUGCAGAGUUUGGUGAACCCAGAGCUGCGAUGAACUGACUGGUUUCUCCUUCUGAGAUGUCUGCUCAUUUGCAGGGCACUUUUCAGUCAUUCCCAACCGAGUCAGGAGGCCAGCAGGCAGAGGCGGGGCCAGGUCAAGCUCCCAGUGUGGCCUUGGUGCAGUCCGGAGUAUCGUUCCUCCCCACGGCCAUACAUUUUCCAUUGAUUCCCACAGGGAUUAUGGUGGCGUUUCCUCUCCUUUCCCUUCAAAGACACUCCUAGGAGCCUGAGCUCCUGGAUUGCAGUCCCCCGUCUUCCUGAGGAAGGGAAGGGAGGGAGGACAUGUUGAGGUGGCGUAGAACUGGUUCUGGCGCAGGCUGGCUGACUCGCUGCAAUCCUCUGGGCCUUGGCUGCGCGAGGCAGACAGGCCAGGCUGGGAUCUUCGUUCAUGGACUCCCGUGUUCCGUCAGCACACGGGUACCGCGUGCAGCUGUGUGCCGGCAUAGCACAGGGCACUGAGAUACGACCACCAGCACGAAGGGUGCGUCCUGCCUUUGUGAGCGUGCAGUCUGUGGGGGCGGGGUGAGGGGAGGCACUGAUAGCCACACGACUCUAAACGGGAUGCACGCUCUGAAGGAAUUUCCCAGCAUGCUGUGAGAGUCCCCUUUCCUGAGCACUUGUGUAAUGUGUGGGAAAUCUGACUGAGGCUUGACCACAAAACAAAACUGUCUUCAUUCAUUGUUCAUUCAUUCAUUCCUUCAAAAAAUUGUAACGAGCACCUGCCUUCUGGAGCAGUGGCUUUGUGUUUUGCAUUCCCCAACGAAGGGAUAAAUCAAGGCUGAUAGGAAGAUAUGACAUGAAAUGGGGCUGGGAACAAGUUUAUUUGGUCAACCAAAUUCAAGAGACAUUCGCUAUGUUUUGCUGUGGGCCCGGCGCUAGGACAUGAGUGUGUCGGGGUCAGGACGUGAUGGUGUCUGCCCUCAGGGAGCUCUUGGGGAACCCUGGGGUCUAAGUCUUGGGCAGAGGGGAGUAAGCUGGACCAGGGUGAGCCCACUGGGGUUUGAAUCUGGGCUUCACCACACAAGAGUAUAAGACCUAAGGGGAAUUUUGAAACAUUCUGUAGCCUCCAUUUUCUCAUCUGUAUAUAAAAAUAAGGACAUUUCUCAAUAUUAUUAUAUACUGUGCUAAGCACUGAGCGUGCACUACUUCAUUGACCCACAUAACAGCCUUAGAGGUAUGUUCUUUCCUUUCUCCAUUUAACUGAUGGGGAAACCGAAGCUCAGAAACGAAAAGAGAUGCUGAUGUCAUAAUGCUGCCAAGGGCUCUCUUUUAUUCUCACAAGAUAUAGGACAGGUGGCUGACAGAGACCCCACAACCCUCAGGCAACGUGGGCUCCAAACUUGUCUGAUCCAUCAUCUCUCUUAGAAACGCUACAAAACAUGUCCUCAUCGAUCUUGUUUAUUUAGAAACAAAGACCUGUCCUACCAUCCGUCUACAUGGCAAAGAUUCACUUCUUAUCUUGGAUAAAAUCAAAUAUACAUAAAGAUUGCAUCUAAACAUAAAUACAGAUACAAUUGCUCCCUGCCCCCCAGUGAGUCACUGAGCACUUGGAGACCAUGCUCCCAGAUCACUUCACGGGGGACAAUGGUGCCCAGAGAGGCCAAGCAACUUGUCCAGUUGCUCAGUGGCAGUAGACCGCUGGGGAGAUUUUGCCCCCAGGUGACACUGGGCAAUAUCUGGAGACAUUUUUCAUUGUCGUGACUGAUGUGUGGGGUGAAAGGGAUGCUGCUGGAACCCAGUAGUAGAAGCCAGGAAUUCUGUUAAGCCAGGAGCCCACAGUGCACAGGACAGACCCCCACAGCAAAGGAUUACCCGGCCGCAAAUGUGAAUAGCACCAAGGCUGAGAAACCCUGGUCUCAGCCCUCUGGGGCCAGGUGGCCUGAGUGUGAAUUUGGGCUCUGUUGCUGGCUGGCAACCGUGAGCACAUUACUUAACCUCUGACCUCCAGUUUUUUCGGCUGAAACGGAGGUUAAUAAUACCAGUGUGGGAAGACGGUGGCAUUAAAUGAGACCCUUUCUAUGCGAAAGGCCAAGGGUUAAUUCUCAUCUUGUUCUCCCACGCCCCUGUCCUCAGUGGUCUCAGCUCUUCCGUGAAGUUGACUUAUUUCCCAGGGCGACUGGGAAGGGUCGGCCGAAAGCCGCCAAGGGCAUUGGAAGCUACACAAGCGCUCUAAAUGCUAAGGAGCCAGGCCAAUCGGUCAGAAAGUUCCAACGCGGGUUUCCAUGUUGCAAGACCUGAGGCAGCGCCCAGGAGAGGGCGCGAGCUGGGGGUGUCUGUGAGCUGCGGGUGCCAGUGGGAGGGGUAAGUUCAGUCUGUCUACAGCAGGGCGGCAGCCUCCCUCCUUCUGUCCCACCUCUUCUCUGAACAUUUCCUGCUCCACUUCUUGGAACUGUCUCUCCCUUCUUUCUUUCCUUUCUUGCCUACUUCCUUCCAGUGAACAGACUUCAGACAUCAUCACACAGAGACAACCCAGUCCUGACCAUCACUGUAGACAGACAUAGAAACAGACCCUUGCAAUCCGUGUCCUGGUACAGAGGGGCGCCAGGAAGGAGGUGGUCCAGCCUAUCUGAGAAUGGAGAGAGGGUUUGGGAAAAAGGUUCUUGGAGGUGUGGCUGGAGCUGUGAGACCCAGCCCCCAUCUCUAACCAGGUUAGAUGCCUCUGCUACCAGGUUGUCAGUAGACUGUAGGCAUCGUGUGGGCAGGGACUUCUAUUUUGUUCCCUGUUGGAGCCUCAGAGCCUGGAAUGGUGCCUAGCAUAUGGUGGGCACUACUACAUAUUUGUGGAAUGAAUAAACAGUGUUUAGAAAUUUGCCAAAUGGGCCUGGGAGAGAAGGGAAGGGCAUUCGGAGCACGGGGAACAGAACUAGCAAAGGCAGGCAAAAGAUGAGAAUUAUGAAAGAUAUAGGAGGAAAUGCUGGGGAUGGUUAGUGAGCUGGGCACGUGGCCCCAGCCCAGGGCUGGUAGCAGAGGCCUUGCAUGUGUGCGGCAAGUCAUUGUAAGUUAUCCGAAGAUGAGAGGAUAUUUUUUUCAGGGAAAGGGUGCAUUAAGAAAGAAAGAGUUGGGAAGGGCAUGACAGCACUCAUUCAGCAACAUUUACUGAGUGCCUGUGAGGUUCCAGGCACUGCGCUAGCCUGGGAGAGAGAUAGCAGGGGCCAGAACCAGUGGGGAUGGGACUCAGGAGCUAAGCUUCGCACAGCACUGAGUGAGCGCCUGCUGCCUGACUGGGGGUGGGCUGGAGGAGGCUGCUGGGGGAAGGGCCAGUCAAGCAGGACUCUGUGGUUUUAUGCCACAGGAACUGACAGGGUGCUGGAGUCAUCGAGGAAAAUAGAGACUACAGAAAGAAACGGGUUGGAGUAGAAAGUGCACUGUGUGACUUUGGGCCAAUUCCUUCUGUGAGCCUUAGUUACUAUUUUUAACAUUAUCAUGAUUACAAACCAGGCAUAGGAGCUUUAUGUACCCAUUUCAUUUAAUCCUUAUAACAUUUCUGCAAAGGAGAUAUUCUCUCCCCCAUUUUACAAAUGGAGAAAUUGAGGCACAGAACUUUAAAUGAUUUCCCAAGGUCAUAGAGCUAGUAAGAUGCUGGGAGAAGCAACAGCGGCAUUGAAGGAUGUCAGACUCCCAAUCCAUUCCUUUCUCCCUCCACCCAGCUCCAAGAAGCUCACCUCAGACACUGGCCUCCAGGCCACCAGCUUAAUCUUGAGAGGUCCAAACUGCUGCUGGAGCCAUCCGGGCUCCCCGGGUCUGCGCUGGGGCAGCGGGUCCGAGCCCCCUGCGGCUAGAAGCUGCGCUCUUCUCAGGACCAUUCCCCACAGACCAUUCCCUCGGUGGAGCCUGGAAAGAAGGUUAAAGGCGACUUCUGCACGUCAGUCAAGAGGCUCCUUCUUGCGAGUGUGACAUCUUAGCCUGAGCGAGGCCGUGCCCAUCUCUAACACAGGGCGGCUGCCAGCGCGUCUCGGGAGGAGCCGGGAAAGACUGCAGGCACCUGCAUGGGGCUUCUCGCGUGGCGAGUGCUCGAUCCACGGAGGAGACACUGGAGGGGUGGCCGGGCCCACAGGCCCCCGGGAGGCAGUUUGCUCUCCUUCAAACCCCAGUUCAUCACAGCUCACACCAGCUGUGACAUGUGGGGCAGGUCUUAAUCUCUUAGUGCCUUGGUUUCUUGAUCUGUAAAACUGGUGUAAUAACAGAAUCUACUCUGUAGGGUAGUAGCAGAGAUGAAAGGAAUGGAGAUGAGAGAUGCCUGAUGCACUCAGAACACCGCCUCCUACCUCCCCAGUGGAACGGCCCAAGGACUCCUGCCCAUGCCUUUCUCAGAAACCAGCCCCCCCACAAAGGAGGAGGAGUCAUUGCGAGCAGGCUCCAACGAAGAGGAAGGGAAUAGUGGCUUUGAUUCAUUCUUUUCUCCAACGUUUUUUUAUUGAGCAUUUAAUUUGCAGCAUGUCAAACACUUAGGUGCCAGGGAGGCUCCACAAGCAAGACGGCACCACACCCCAAGGAACUCGAGGUGGAAAACGAGACCGGGGGAUAAGGAACCGAGAAGCCCGGCGUGUUGGGUCACAGCAGGGGAGAGUCAGGACUUCUGGUUGGGAAUGGCAUUUGCAAAGAUACCGAAUGUUCACGCUUUGCCUUGCACAGCUAUUUGCAUUCAGUAAGAGGAAAUUGUGGGUUUUAUUACCAAAAUGGUUGAUUAUGAAAAUGAUGAAGAUAAUGAUGUCCUUGGAAAUGACUCCAGCAUGUGAAGGUGGAGGAGGGGAGAACGAUGGGAGAGGAGGCUGGGAGUGGGGCAAGCAGAGUCUGGGUCCAAAAGGUCCCAGUGAGCCAGACAGGGAGUUUAAAUUUCAUCCUGGAAGCAGCAAGGCCCCUGGGAAGAAUUUCAAGCAGGAGAGGUGGGUGGCCAGCUCUGUUUUAACGAGAUCAUACCGGAGGCUGCGUUGAGGCUGGGUUGGAGUGAGGUUGACUGGAGUCUGGGAACAUUAGAAAGGUAACUGGCAGCUGGCCUCACUGGGGGGCAGGGGAAAGGGGGCACCACCUCACCUGGACUUGAGAUGAGCUGUGUCACAUCCAGGCCUCAAUUCUAUCAACUUGAGCUUAGUGUAUAUGAAUCCAAAAGGGAAUAAUGUCCACUGACUUCCCAGCUGUCUCCAGGAAUGAAGAUUGGCAACCUGGUCCCUCUCUUUUCUGAGGCCCUGGGCAGCCAGAGGGCCAGGGUCAUGGGCUUGGCUGUGGUAGGCAGAAUAAUGGCCCCCCCCAAAUACGUCAAGGUCCUAAUCCCCAGAAUGUGUGAGUAUGUCACUUUACAUGAUAAAAAAGACUUAGCAGAUGUGAUUAAGAUAAGGGUCUUGAGAUGGGGAGAUUAUCUUGGAUCAUCCCAGGUGAGAGGAUGCUGCACUGCUGGCUUUGAAGACGGAGGAAGCGGCCUUGAGCCUGGGCACGUAGGCACCUCUAGAAAGUAGAAAAGGAGCACAAACAGAGGCACUCUCAACAAGAAUAUACACCUAUGUGCUGGGGGGCUUUGGGAAGGGAAGAAAAAAUGAAAGUGGAAAAGGCAAAGAAUGGGACCCUCCCCUGCAGCCUCCAGAAGGGCCGGCUCUGUCUGUCGGCAUGACUUCAGCCCAGUGCCGCCGGCUCGGGACUUCCCACCUCCAGCAGCAGCACAAGACAGCAUGCGGCUUUACGCCACCAAGUUUGAGCUCAUCUUAGGAAUUGAAAGGAGGGUGUUCUUUUUCUUCCCUUAGUUCCUGCCCAGGGCCAGGACUAGCUGGAGGGGGACCAUCCAGGAAAGCUCCAAACCGUGUUUGUCCUGGAGGCUGAGGAGACGCCAACGGGUGAGAGAGGGAGGAGAGCGCACAGAUGCAGUGCAGACGCUGCCCUGGAGAGAACGCUGCUCCGGGCCAGGCUCGUGCUGGGCGCUCUCAUGGACUGCCUCACUCUCCUCUCAAUAACCAGGGGGAAACUGAGGCACACAGAUUUUAAGUAACUUGCCUGAGGCCGCACAGCUAUAAGCGGCAGAGCAGAGACCUGCCCCCGUGUGCCGCUGGAGCCCACGCUCUUUACCUUGCACUGUAUCCUAGGAGGAGCCGGGGGUGGGGGAGGCACUGUGGGGCGUUCCUCGAGUGGGAACCUGUGUCACCAGCCGCCCAAACUUCUGCUUGCCCGAGGUGUCUUGUCUCUCCCCGUUUCAGGAUAGCGGCGAAGGAAGGGGAAUUCCCUCUCUGUCUCUCUCUGUCUGUAUAACCCUUGACCCCUCUGCUGGAGCUUUCCCUGGAAAGGAUGUGACCCAAGAUGAGAUAUCAGGAAAGCAGGUGUGUCUGGCCGUGUUUGACCCUCAGCAGUUCUGUGGCCUUGACUUCAUCCUGAGCUAUCAGAGUGGGCAGGAGUAUAUUUCAGACGGGGAAACUGAGACCCAGAGUAGGAAUUGUCUUGCCCAGAAUGGUUUCUGCAAGGGGCAGUUUUCCACCCUCAGGAGGCCUCUUUGUCAUGGACUAUGGAGGUGGCAAAAGAGAUACAAUGCGUGUCUAUAACCAGGCUCUGCAGUGGCAUCUGAUGCGGCUUUUCUGGUCUGCCUCAGUCACAGAUUAUGAUAAAAAUUCCUGGUUCAGCCACUUAACUGGCUGAGUGACCCUGGGCAAGUUAUCCAACCCCUCUGUGCCUCAGUUUCAUCACCUAGAAAAUGGGGAUUACCUAUGUAAAGUGUUUCCUGCUCUGGUGGAUGAGGCGGGGGCAAAGAGACAAUGAUGCCAGUACCCAACACUUCCAAAACAGGGAGCGCUGGAUGGGCUCGGACCUGACGCCGAACCCCUUUCUGUUCUUUUUCUCCUCUCAGUUCUUCUCCCCAGAGUUUUCACAGGAAUUGAGAAUCGUCAGAGAGAGUUUGGUCACAUCCGGUUCUACCUGCCCCUGACAGGGGGAGCGGUGAGCCUUGGGAGCAUCUGGGAGGCCAGGGCUGCACACUCAGGGCUGCCAGCUCAGGGGGAGGUCCGGGUUUGCUGUGGGGGGGCAGCCAAUGCGGGGAGGAGCCAAGGGAAGCCCCUCCCCCGGGAGGUGUGGGCCCAGCCUUGCUCCUGUCCCGCUCUGGCUUCACUCUCUUGGGCUACAGAGACAUCCAUAAAUGAUGUGCCCUCUCUUAAUGACUGCAGCCACCAUGUGCAGGGGCUUUGACAGGGUUCACUUGGUGAGCCCAACAGGCCACUGAGGCAGUAAUGCCUAGCCCAUUUCAACAGCGGAAGAAGCAGGAGCCCACACACUCUGGCCCGCAGGCUCCAGAGGUCCUGCUCGGUCUAGCACUGCAUCCCUCCAUGCUCCCUCACUCAUCCCACUCCCGCCCCCUCCUGCGGGGCCGCCUCCGUGCUGGCCCCAGACAGACCCUGUGCUGAGGUCCCCCACCCUCGCACGUGUCCCCUACCCCUGUGUCACCUCUCUGAGCCCUUUCUUUAAGGUCAGUUUGAAGCUCCCUGCUUCCCUUCCUCCCUUCCACAAACCUUCCGAACAACUUCUGUCUCCCUCCUCGACAAAACCUCGAAUAGACCCCUGCACCCCCCGAGUUGUCAGAAGGGACAGCGUGGCCAGGAAGGGAUGGCACUUGUUGACGCUUGCCACAUGCUGCCUACUGUGCAAAACAGUUUACAUGUAUCACUCCAUUUGAUUCUCUUGGGAGGCAGGUGCUAUCAUUGUCCCAUUUUACAGAUGAGGAAACCGAGGCUUAAAAAGUUUAGGCUACCCACCCAAGAUCACAGAGGCAGGAAAUGGAAAAAUGUGGACCCAAACUCAGAUCCGUCUGAGCCUAAAGCUUGUGCUCUUUACCGCACAAUUUGGCCUCCUGCUCUCUAGGCGCCCCUCGCCAGGCUGGCCCUAUCUCCCUUCUAGGUCUCAUCUCCAUGGGCCCUCCUGUCAUUCACUCCAAUUGACUCCCCUUGCAUUUUCGUUCCUCUGGGCCUUUGUGCAUGCUAUUCCUUCUACCUGGAACACCUUUCCCUUUCUUUUGUGCCAUCAAAAGCCUUCCCAUGCAGGGAGCCCUUUCUCUGGGAGUCCCUCCUGGAGGCCCUGGCGGCUCCCACCUCCGACUGUGGAGAGAGCCACUUCCUUCCUGCUGGCCCUUGCAGCGUGCUUCUCUAUGUGACUGCAGCGUGCUGAGUCUGUGCUGGUGUCCAACUGCCACACAUUAACUGAGCACCCAUUUCGUGCCUGGCACUGGGGGCUCUUGGGACAUGGGGGUGAGCCAGAUAGGUGUGUCUCAGCUGUUGCAGCGUUUGCAGCCUUGGGGUGAGGAACAGGCCCAUGCUCAGGACCACACGGCGGCCUGAGUCUUGUGGUGGGGCAGGAUAAGGGGCUUCAAGUGCUCCCAAGAGGAGCACCUAUCCAGGACCAGGAUGGGCAGCAGGGCUCCAUGGAGCAAGUGGUAGUAAACCAAGGUGGAGAGAGUCAAGCCAGGAGGGGGUGAAGGGGGAAAGCAAUGUCUCAGGCAAAGGGAACAGCCUGUGCAAAGGCCCAGGGGUGAUAGAAAGCUAGGUGAGAUCAGAAUGCCACAGAGAUUGGCAUGGCCAGAAAAUAGAGCAUGCAAGGCAAGUGUUGCAAGAACACUCUGGAGAGGCGAGCUCCGACUCUGGCCAAAAACGUUUGCCAGAAUCUUGCCUCUCUCUCCCACUCAUCUGUGGGCUCAGGUGGCUUAGAGGACAGUGUGGCAUGGGAGUUAACAGCCUGGCCUUGCAGCCAGCAAACCCAGGUGUGGCUUGAGUGACUUCAGACAGCUGCUUACCUGUUCUGGGUCCCACUCUCAUCUUUUAAAUGGGAAUCAUCAUACCACCCCCUCCGAGGGCUUGGAGAGGACUGUGUAACGGAAGGGAUGAGCACAGUCUCUGGCCCACGGGAGCAGCUGAAUGCAGGGCUGCUGCAGCGAUGGCAAGAACACAUGGGAACGUGUUAGACACCAUGUUGCUGUUGUCACCAGUAUUCUUACCAUUAUUUCUGUUGUUGGAUCUGAGUCGUCUCUGCCUCUCUUAUGGAUGGCACCAAGGGCUCUGUUGCCUACCCAGCUCUGGGUCCUGGGGAAGGAGCCGGCAAGAUGGCGAGCGCCAGGAUCAUAGAACAACCCCUUUGCCCUCCGCAGCUGUGCGCGGGCCAGGGAAUGAGAGGUCUGUAGCCCUGUGGACUAGUCUGGCAGGGGCUCCGGACACAGAAUCCGGAUGCUAUGUGAACACCCCAGCCUGGCUGGGAAAGCUGCCCACCAGCCCGUCCCCCUCUGCCCUUAUAUGGCCUUCCCUUUCUUGGGGAUGAGUUGAACCUCCUCAGGGUUGGAUGUUCUCGUCCCCCUGCAGGACGCCAGGACGCCUGCUGGGGUGGUGAUUCUUUUCUUGUGGGCAUUCCCAUCUGAUCAAUUUUCUGCCCUCUCUGGCUGCUCUGAGCUGAGGGCUGCCCCCUAAGAACGCAUCACCCAGACCCCCUUGGGCUCUCAAUUCUGGCCGGAUCUGGCCACAGGGAAGCUGCAGCAGGAGAGAGGAGUGUACGGGGAGAGAGGUCAGGCAUCCAUCCCUCUCUCCGUCUGCUCCUUCUUCCACUGUCCUGACAUUGGCUGUGACCAGGACAGCUGUAGCUCCCUGGCUGCUCCUCCUUGGCUCCGGCUCUCAGGCCCCCCAGAGCACCUUCCUUCUCUUCUGCUUGAUCGCUAAGAGGGGUGUGGGCUUCCCGCUGCUCUAGGCCCGGGGGGGCUGCCUUGACCUCUCUUGCUGGUUUCCUUGACCUGCCCCCGCCUCUGAGCACAGCCCUGCUCCGCGCUGUUGCUGUCGCUGUCGCAGGCUGCCUGUCUCCCGCUGACUCCCAUCAGUGUUCCGCGGAGGCUGUCCAGGCUCCUCCAAGAGACCCCGCCCAGCCAGGACCAGGGUGCAGGGCUGCCCCUCUUCUCCUCUCCUGUAACCUGGGUGCCUCCUAAGAGGGCAGGCCAGGGUCCCACAUGGGCACUCGUCCUGGAGGGGUUGGAGCUGCCUGUGGGACUGCAGAGGAAGCCAGGAUUCCAUCACAGAGGGCCUCAGGGGCCAUGGGGGGAGGAUUUGGGGUUUUAAGAACAACAAGCUGUGGCAGAUUUUUGGGAUGGGGAUUGCCAUCCUCUGGUUUACAAAUGUAGAGGAUUUAUCUGCUGAGAGGUUCUAGACGGUCUGUGUAGACCCAGGGAAGCUAUCUGGGGUGCUGGGGCAGUAGUUGCCCUGUGACAUUAUGGGGCUCUGCCACCAUUAGAGACAUCUGCCACCUCCACUGUGAAGCCUCAGCUGGUCACCCACGAAGGGUUGAAGGCUUCCUUCCUGUGUGUUCACAAAACUUUGUCACAGCAGCUAUCACAGUCGCCCCUCCUCCUGUCCGCAGCGCGCCUCUGCCUCAGCGCCCGCUCACUCCCGGGUCCCAGCACGCGCAGGGCCUGCACACAGAGGGUGCGGUAGGGCUGGCGCUUCGCUGAACUGGUUGGGACUGUCUACCUUCAGUGCAAAUGCCUUUGAAGGUGCCUCCUGUUACAACAUGAGUAACUGUUAAGGGAUGCCCAGCGUCAGAUCAGCUUGCGCCGCCUUGUCAGGCAAGGAGAGACAGUGGACAUUGGCUGCGUGCUUCCCCACGCCGCCUCGUCCAGUCCACUUGCCAGCCCUGGGAACAGGCAGUCCUGCCCCGUUUCACAGAGGGGAAACGGAGGCUCAGAAGAGUGGUCUAACUUGGAUCAGGUCGCCCAGCUUGUGAGUGACAGAGCCUGGGUGCCAACCAGGUCUCUCUGUCUCCUAAAGCUGUCAGCGGAGCCAAACGCCGCCAGGAGAACUGGACCAGCCUGCUCAGGAAACUGGCCUGGAAAGGUACAAAGACAUAACAACGAGUGGAACAAAGACCCUGCCCUCAAGAACUCACGUUCCAGCGGGAGAAGACCAACAGUAAACAGGACUGAUUUCUGGCCAAGAGAGUAUGGAAAGGAGUGAAGUACUUCCAGGGCCAGUCCGUAACAACCUCUCACAUCCCCAGCUGUUCCCUGAAGUCACCCAGCAGAGGGCCGAGCCACGGGAGCGGAGGCGCCUGAGCUCCUGUUCUCGAAUGAGCGUGCAGAGCAGAAUCCCUGCCCUCUCCACGAGGAGAAGAGAACUCUUGGAAUGUUGAAGCACUGUUGCUCUGUAAAGACCCCUUUCUGAAGUCACGUAACCUCCAAACCCCCGUCUGGGAAUACAGCACAAAGAGCUCCACUGCUCCACGAAGCAAGCCCAGCUCCCCGCCGGCCGCCUGCUCGCCGAGGCGGGGCAACAACUGUGAGCUGGACAAGAAGCUUUAACUCUGUCAGAAAAGGUCCUGGAGUCCUGAGCAGGAACAGCUGAGCUCCACCUUGGGUGGGUGGUCGCAUUGUUAAAGACUUCAACUAUACCACUAACAAUGGUUCUCUCCUGAGGGCGGGAUUACCAGGGCGCUUCCACAUUCCUCGGCUUAUAUUUCCAUGUUGUUUGAAUUUGUAUUGAAGUCGUAUUAUAUGUGUAAUUUAACAAAUGUGUGUAUUAGUAUAUACUUAAACCCAUCAGGAACAUUAUUCUCGUCGCUAGAAAAAGUGUAAAGUACGCAGAGUGCAGGAGCUGGAGGGAGCUUUGGAAAUAGACCCUAACUCCGACUAUGGUCCAUGGUCCAGCAGCAUCGUCUUCCCCUGAGAGCUUGGUAGAAAUGCAGACUCUCAGACCAGCUCUGGACCUACCAAAUCAAAAUCUGCGUUUUAAGAGAUCCCAGGUGACACUGACAUUUGAAAAGCCCUGAUCUAGUCCAGGCAACUUCCUGAUUUUUACUGCAAAGGAAACAGGAGAGGCAAAGGGAGUCAAAGUUCACACAGCGUGUCGGCACCAAAAUGAAGGCUUCGGCUCCUGUCCGUGGACUCCCAGACCAGGACGCUUCUCCUGCCUCCAGCUUGCCUCUCCAGCCGGUGGUCUUCUAGAACCUCAGCUUAUUUUUCCAUACUUUGUAAGUGAAUGCAUUCUAGUUGCGACACGGAAGGUGAAUGUUAGUCUUCAGUACAGCGCAAUACACUGGGGAGAUAAAGCACAGCAGCCUGGGAGUCAGGGCCACCAGCCCUGGACUGGCCCCGAAUCAUACUCCCACAGUAUUUGAGAAAAAGCCCAAGGUGGAUUUAGGAACAAGCAAGGGUGGGAAAACCAGUAGGGCCAGUGACAUCAGGGCAGCUCUGGAAACUCAGGGGAGGGGAAAUGUUCGGGGAUCCCUUAGUUAUCGGUUCCCAUUUGUGCAGGUGCUGGAAUGAGUCAAUGCUGGUUGCCGUGUCAUGAAGAAGGGAAUCACCUGUGAUUAUCGAGGGCGUAUAGCAGUUUAACCAGCCCAGCUGUUUAGAAUUUGAAUUCAGCUCCCUAUAUACACUCAUUCAGAUGGGAUCAUCCCAGCCUGUCGGCGCGUCUUGAGGAAGAAAGUCUGGGUUUGCCGUGUUGGCUGUUCAUACUGAUCUGAAGACAUCCUCAGACUGGGGUAUAUCUGACUCAAGAAAAGUCUCAGCCUGGCUCCAAACAGCACAGGGGCCAGAUCACAGGAGGGCUCCCUAGAGCGCAUGCACGCAGCCAAGGAGUCCUUGCCUGAGACCUUGAGAGAUACCUCGAGAGGCCAAAGGUGAAGGCUGAGCCAAAAAUACACAAGAAAGGCAAAGUCCUAAACAUCAGAGUUAUUGUCGGGAAAUUAGCUGCGGUGCAGGAAAGGAGCACCAGGGCGAGGCCAGCAGGCAGGAAGAAUGGAAGCAGCUAAGAGGCGGGCUGUGGAGAAAGGCCAAUUCUGGUUCCACCAAUCUCCAGGUGUGAUCUUGGGCGAGCACCUUUCUCUCUCAAAGGCAUCAUAAGUCAAAUUGAUAUUAUUUCAAGUUAAUAUCAUACCUUUUUCAAAAUAAAGCACUGAUUUUUAUAAGGAGAUGAAUAUAAAGUCACCCCCUGCUAUGGUCUGAGUGUGCCCCCCCAGAGUCGUGUGUUGAGGUCCUGAUGCCCAAUGUGAUGUGUUAGGAGGCGGGGCCUUUGGGAGGUGCUUAGGUCCUGAGGGUGGAGACCUCAUGAAUGGGAUUAGUGCUCUAGUAAAUGAGACCCCACAGAACUCCAUAGCCCCUUCUGCCACACGGGGACACAAAGAGAAGUCUGCCACCUGGAAGAGGGCAUCACUCGACCGUGCUAGUCCUGCCAUCUCAGAUUUCCAGCCUCCAGAACUGUGAGAACAAAUUUGUUGUUUUCAAGCUACCCGGUCUGUGGUGUUUUGUUAUAGAAGCCAGAGUGGACGAAGACACACCUUUCCUGAGGGAGUUUUUAGGGGCUUGGGGCAGAGGAACAAACGUUGCUGUAUGUUCAGGCCUACAGGUGAACUGACUCAAGGUUUUAGUGAGUGAGGGCAGAGUGCCAUUCAACCCAGGCUCAGCGAGAGUCCAAGUCCUCAGUCACAAAGCUGCCACGGGUGUUUCCUCAGGACUGAGUCCAGGCCUCGCCUGCCCCGGCCACCCUGAGCAGGGCUUGCUCCCCGCUGUGACAGGAAAUCUGGUGAAGCAGCCUGCUCUGCCCUCCCUCAGCACUCCGGGCUCUCCUCACAGAACUUAGCACAUCGUGCUGUAAAUUGUGCAGGAGAACCCUUUGAGGGUAAGGACUGUGUCGUGUCCCACUGUGACUGCAGCAUUUAAUGCAGUGCCCGACGUGCAAUAAAUUUUCAGUGCAAAAUAUCUGUGGGAUGACUGUGUACCCUUGGCCAGGUUGGGUGGGUUAGAGAUCCAAAUCCAUCUCAUCCUCAUCCAUCUCAUCCUCCGUCCAGUGUAGAUCCUAUAACGUGUGGGCCGGAAGGGUCAAAGCGACAUGUCCUAAACUCCCAUGCAGCCACGCUCUGGAUUUGAUUUAGAUUUGGCCAAUCAGAUGCACAAGCACGAGUUCUGGAAAACAGAAGUGAGGGGUCAAGCCUCCGCUGCCUCUGCUGCUCCUGUGGUGAGCAGGCUUAUGAGGGCGUUUGGUUUUCUGCAGCACCUCCGUGGGGGCCCCACGCUGGGUCGCUUGCUGUGUGGGGUCAAGAGGCAGGGCAUCAUCGGGCGUUCACUCUGUUGGUGCAGAUCGCAGCAGGCUUACGUGGCUCUUCCUGGUCACAGCAGGGCUGGAGUCAUUUUGGAAUAAAAGCUUCCAUUUCAGAGAUGAUCCCAGAAGAGGCAGAAGAUCUCUGGAUUGCCCAGGACCCUGGGGUCACUUCCAAAAGCUUCAGUCCUCCCAAUGACUCCACAAGCCAUUUGGUACUAGAUGUUUCCAGUUAGGACAUUGUUUCAGCUGCGUCAUCAGGACAAAUAAACCUUAAACAAGGUGCCUCUGACUCGUGACUUCGCUCAUCCGUGUUCCUCCCUACACAUUCGUUUUUCUUCACCUCUAUUUUCUCCCUGCAAAACCAGAACCUUCGCAGGUCAGGAAGAAAGCACUGAGCACAAUACCCAACACUUCGUGUGUGUUCAGUAAUCGUUUGUUGACUGUCUAACCUCCUCUGCUCACCGACUGCUCACUCCUGGCUUUGCCUGGCUCCUUACAUCCUGGGACACCUUUGCUUUCCUUGGAAUACCUCACACCUGGGCCAAAAUGUCAGGACAAAAAGGCAGAGCAGGAAAAUGAAAAAAGACACUUUCCACCCACCCAUGGCCCCCUUCUAUUUUCAAGACCAGUUGCACUUCUACAAACAGCUUCCCCUUGGCCAGCUGGAGCCCCAUCAGCCGCCCAGGACUGGAAGCUGACGCCCAUGAGCAGUUGGUUACGGGGUAAUUAGGGAGCCCAGUCAGGGUCAGUAGCUUUUCUAAGUUCCACAACUGACUUGAGCGAGGUGCAGAAGCAGCUGGUGUGUGGAGAUUGUCUGGAAAUACGUCUACAGCUCCCACUGAAGUACCUAUGGGAAUCCUUGGGGACCUCAGCAGGCCAGACAGUUCCUCUCUCCCCGCUGGCCCGCCCUCCAUCCCCUUGCAUGCACGUGCGCACACGCACACACACACUCCACAGUGGGAAUAGUCACCAAGACCUUGGACCUCUCCUACCGCAUAGAAAUGCAGAUGGCUCCUUUCCGAGGAAGGAAGGGCUUGGUCGUAUUGGAAAGAACAGAGACAUUGGAGUUAGACAGACUUCGGUUGGAAACCCAGUUCAUCCACUGACUAGUUUGGUGGCCCUGAGCAAGUCAUUUAACUUCUGUAUCAGUUUCAUUAUUGGAAAAAUGCCUUGUCUUUAUGGAAGAAUUUUUGUUAAUUUUCUAGCAAAUCAAAAGGGUAUUCGAUGGUAAAAAGAUGAGUGUUUGCCAGGGGUUUGGGAGAGGGAAGGAGACAUGAAAAGGUGGAGCACAGGGGAUUUUUAGGGCAGUGAAACUGUUCUGUAUGAUGUGUAAUGGCCAAUACAUUACAUUACAUUCUUGUCAAAACCCACAGAAUGUACAACAUAAGGAGUGAACCCUAACGUAAACUGUGGACUUCAGUUAAAGAUAAAGUAAUAUUGCUUUAUGAAUUGUACCAAAUGUACCACAUUAAUGUAAGAUAAUGUUAGAAGACAAACUGAGGCGUAUUAAAGUUUUACGUUUAUCUGAGCAAACAUCAAUUCCAAUACGGAAGUGCCAAACCGGAAAUGGUCAGGAGGCUCCAGCGACAGGAUCUGGGGGCAGGACUUUGAUAGAGAAGAAACGGAAGCAGAGCACGGGAGUGAUGUGACUGGCUCUAGCUGUCACGGCCUCCUUCUCCGGGAAAGGCUGG